GACGAACGCUGGCGGCAUGCCUAAUACAUGCAAGUCGAGCGAACAGAUGAAGUGCUUGCACUUCUGACGUUAGCGGCGAACGGGUGAGUAACACGUAAGGAAUCUGCCUAUAAGCGGGGGAUAACAUUCGGAAACGGGUGCUAAUACCGCAUAAUAUCUUCUUCCGCAUGGAAGAAGAUUGAAAGACGGCUCUGCUGUCACUUAUAGAUGACCUUGCGGUGCAUUAGUUAGUUGGUGGGGUAACGGCCUACCAAGACGAUGAUGCAUAGCCGACCUGAGAGGGUGAUCGGCCACAUUGGGACUGAGAAACGGCCCAAACUCCUACGGGAGGCAGCAGUAGGGAAUCUUCCGCAAUGGGCGAAAGCCUGACGGAGCAAUGCCGCGUGAGUGAAGAAGGCCUUCGGGUCGUAAAACUCUGUUAUAAGAGAAGAACAAAUUGUAGAGUAACUGCUACAGUCUUGACGGUAUCUUAUCAGAAAGCCACGGCUAACUACGUGCCAGCAGCCGCAGUAA
Molecule: ribosomal RNA, 513 nt
Filed under: uncultured bacterium
Lineage: Bacteria
Description: partial 16S ribosomal RNA
Rfam family: Bacterial small subunit ribosomal RNA
Source: RNAcentral